Molecule: transfer RNA, 78 nt
Filed under: Trichonephila inaurata madagascariensis
Lineage: Eukaryota; Metazoa; Arthropoda; Arachnida; Araneae; Nephilidae
Description: tRNA-Phe
Rfam family: tRNA
About the family: Transfer RNA (tRNA) molecules are approximately 80 nucleotides in length. Their secondary structure includes four short double-helical elements and three loops (D, anti-codon, and T loops).
Source: RNAcentral
UGCCGAAAUAGCUCAGUUGGGAGAGAGCGUUAGACUGAAGAUCCUAAAGGUCCCCUAGUUCAAUCCCGGGUUCGGCAG